This 693-nucleotide ribosomal RNA is filed under the name uncultured Bacteroides sp. RNAcentral describes it as "bacterial SSU rRNA". It matches the Rfam family "Bacterial small subunit ribosomal RNA", at positions 32 to 715 of the family's 1533-position model. The record is from RNAcentral. Lineage: Bacteria; Pseudomonadati; Bacteroidota; Bacteroidia; Bacteroidales; Bacteroidaceae.
AACGCUAGCUACAGGCUUAACACAUGCAAGUCGAGGGGCAGCAUCAUCAAAGCUUGCUUUGAUGGAUGGCGACCGGCGCACGGGUGAGUAACACGUAUCCAACCUGCCGACAACACUGGGAUAGCCUUUCGAAAGAAAGAUUAAUACCGGAUGGCAUAGUUUUCCCGCAUGGGAUAAUUAUUAAAGAAUUUCGGUUGUCGAUGGGGAUGCGUUCCAUUAGGCAGUUGGCGGGGUAACGGCCCACCAAACCAACGAUGGAUAGGGGUUCUGAGAGGAAGGUCCCCCACAUUGGAACUGAGACACGGUCCAAACUCCUACGGGAGGCAGCAGUGAGGAAUAUUGGUCAAUGGACGAGAGUCUGAACCAGCCAAGUAGCGUGAAGGAUGACUGCCCUAUGGGUUGUAAACUUCUUUUAUACGGGAAUAAAGUUAGCCACGUGUGGCUUUUUGUAUGUACCGUAUGAAUAAGGAUCGGCUAACUCCGUGCCAGCAGCCGCGGUAAUACGGAGGAUCCGAGCGUUAUCCGGAUUUAUUGGGUUUAAAGGGAGCGUAGGCGGACGCUUAAGUCAGUUGUGAAAGUUUGCGGCUCAACCGUAAAAUUGCAGUUGAUACUGGGUGUCUUGAGUACAGUAGAGGCAGGCGGAAUUCGUGGUGUAGCGGUGAAAUGCUUAGAUAUCACGAAGAACUCCGAUUG